CGAAUCAUUCACAAUGGGCGAAAGCCUGAUGGUGCGACGCCGCGUGAGGGAUGAAGGUCUUCGGAUUGUAAACCUCUGUCACUGGGGAGAAAACGCUUUGAGUUAAUAGUUCAAAGCCUGAUUUAACCCGGAGAGGAAGCAGUGGCUAACUCUGUGCCAGCAGCCGCGGUAAUACAGAGACUGCAAGCGUUAUUCGGAUUCACUGGGCGUAAAGGGUGCGCAGGCGGCCGUGUGUGUAAGGUGUGAAAUCCCGGGGCUCAACCCCGGAACUGCGCCUUAAACUACAUGGCUAGAGUAUUGGAGAGGGUAGCGGAAUUCACGGUGUAGCAGUGAAAUGCGUAGAUAUCGUGAGGAACACCAGAGGCGAAGGCGGCUACCUGGACAAUUACUGACGCUCAGGCACGAAAGCGUGGGGAGCAAAA
RNAcentral lists this ribosomal RNA (422 nucleotides) under uncultured bacterium. RNAcentral describes it as "bacterial SSU rRNA". It matches the Rfam family "Bacterial small subunit ribosomal RNA", at positions 358 to 773 of the family's 1533-position model. The record is from RNAcentral.